AGAGUUUGAUCAUGGCUCAGAACGAACGCUGGCGGCAGGCUUAAUACAUGCAAGUCGAACGCCCACUUCGGUGGGAGUGGCAGACGGGUGAGUAACACGUGGGAACCUACCUAGGGGUACGGAAUAACUCAGGGAAACUUGUGCUAAUACCGUAUACGACCUCAGGGUGAAAGAUUUAUCGCCCCUAGAUGGGCCCGCGUUGGAUUAGCUAGUUGGUGAGGUAAAAGCUCACCAAGGCGACGAUCCAUAGCUGGUCUGAGAGGAUGAUCAGCCACACUGGGACUGAGACACGGCCCAGACUCCUACGGGAGGCAGCAGUAGGGAAUCUUGGACAAUGGGCGAAAGCCUGAUCCAGCCAUGCCGCGUGAGUGAUGAAGGCCUUAGGGUUGUAAAGCUCUUUCGCCAGGGAAGAUAAUGACGGUACCUGGAUAAGAAGCCCCGGCUAACUUCGUGCCAGCAGCCGCGGUAAUACGAAGGGGGCUAGCGUUGUUCGGAAUUACUGGGCGUAAAGCGCACGUAGGCGGCAUUCCAAGUUGGAGGUGAAAUCCCCGGGCUUAACCUGGGAACUGCCUCCAAAACUGGGAAGCUCGAGUCCGAGAGAGGUGAGUGGAAUUUCCAGUGUAGAGGUGAAAUUCGUAGAUAUUGGAAAGAACACCAGUGGCGAAGGCGGCUCACUGGCUCGGUACUGACGCUGAGGAGCGACAGCGUGGGGAGCAAACAGGAUUAGAUACCCUAGUAGUCC
Molecule: ribosomal RNA, 742 nt
Filed under: uncultured bacterium
Lineage: Bacteria
Description: bacterial SSU rRNA
Rfam family: Bacterial small subunit ribosomal RNA
Source: RNAcentral